UGGAUCAGAGAAUUAGCUAGAGCCAACCUCUCUGGUGAGGUAAUCCCAGACAGCAGUUGGUUUCCAACUGCUUCGAUCAGCUCUCUCGACUCUCUCUCCAAAGUUCUGUGUUCCUUUUUUUGCCCAUCCCUCCAUUGCUGUAGACUCCUGCAGCUCUUCCAAGUUUGUUUUCCUUCCAAGAUCUCAAGCCUUAGGGAUAAAUUACCUCAGCAAUGUAGUCUUUGAUAAACCCAAAGAUCCCAGAACAAGAACUCACUAUUUGACAAAAACUGCUGGGAAAACAACAAUUUAAUCACCAGAAGCUUAUACAUCCCACUUAUCCCUAAGUGGAGGAGGUCUGUGAAAAUGGGUGAAGAAUCAGAACCCACUGACCCCCGGGCAAUGCUAAGAAAAUUUGUAGACUAUAAUUGGUCCAUGUAAAGUAGAGGAAGACACAGGAAGUGACCAAAAAGAAGCAUCUUUAAAAGGAGUUACAACUUCCUAUGAGGGAGUUCUUUGUUCUUCAGAGUUUGGAGUUCAAGUUGGCUGAUGAAGAAUCUGCUUACUGGACCUGUGACCUUGGACUUGAAAGAUCAGAAGAGGAUAUUCAUUGAGAAUUCCAAAUUGGAAAGAUUCCUGGAUUUCGAGUCUGGAGAGCCAAGAUUAUGGAGUAUGCGGACUUCUUCUGGAACAUAACAUUCAAGGGGUAUUCAAGGAGGAGACACACACAAUUUUACACUAGACAAUGUGUAAAGGAGGUGAUAGAGCAAAUGAGGGGGACAGUUGUAACUCAGCUUUGAGGUCACUGAGCAUUGAAGGAAAAAUAUUUUAUCAAAGAAUUUGUCUCUCCAUUGUUAUUCCAAUACAACUGAGUCAAUACAAAUUCUCCUUUGUAACACACUUUGUUGCAAUUGUACUUGAGU
This is a non-coding RNA of Monodelphis domestica (gray short-tailed opossum), 902 nucleotides long. NCBI's taxonomy places the organism in Eukaryota, Metazoa, Chordata, Mammalia, Didelphimorphia, Didelphidae. The record is from RefSeq and is a predicted model, not a curated record.